GAUGAACGCUGACAGAAUGCUUAACACAUGCAAGUCUUUGGCGAAGCUGUGCUUGCACAGCCUAGCCAAGGCGGACGGGUGAGUAACGCGUAAGGAACUUGCCCUGCAGUCAGGGAUAACAGACGGAAACGACUGAUAAGACCUGGUAAAGUCAGGCGGACUCAUGUCCAGCCUGAUGAAAAGAGAUGCUGCAGGAGAGCCUUGCGUCCUAUUAGCUUGUUGGUGGGGUAACGGCCCACCAAGGCGAUGAUAGGUAGCCGGCCUGAGAGGGUGGACGGCCAAAAGGGGACGGGGAAACGGCCCUUACUCCUACGGGGGGCAGCAGUGGGGAAAAUUGGACAAGGGGGCAACCCUGAUCCAGCAAUUCUGUGUGCACGAUGAAGGUUUUCGGAUUGUAAAGUGCUUUCAGCAGGGAAGAAAAAAUGACGGUACCUGCAGAAGAAGCGACGGCUAAAUACGUG
RNAcentral lists this ribosomal RNA (461 nucleotides) under uncultured bacterium. RNAcentral's name for it is "partial 16S ribosomal RNA". It matches the Rfam family "Bacterial small subunit ribosomal RNA", at positions 28 to 507 of the family's 1533-position model. The record is from RNAcentral.